This 465-nucleotide ribosomal RNA is filed under the name Vreelandella stevensii. RNAcentral's name for it is "partial 16S ribosomal RNA". It matches the Rfam family "Bacterial small subunit ribosomal RNA", at positions 338 to 795 of the family's 1533-position model. The record is from RNAcentral. Lineage: Bacteria; Pseudomonadati; Pseudomonadota; Gammaproteobacteria; Oceanospirillales; Halomonadaceae.
CCUACGGGGCGCUGCAGUGGGGAAUAUUGGACAAUGGGCGAAAGCCUGAUCCAGCCAUGCCGCGUGUGUGAAGAAGGCCUUCGGGUUGUAAAGCACUUUCAGUGGGGAAGAAAGCCUUGGGGCUAAUACCCUCGAGGAAGGACAUCACCCACAGAAGAAGCACCGGCUAACUCCGUGCCAGCAGCCGCGGUAAUACGGAGGGUGCGAGCGUUAAUCGGAAUUACUGGGCGUAAAGCGCGCGUAGGCGGUCUGAUAAGCCGGUUGUGAAAGCCCCGGGCUCAACCUGGGAACGGCAUCCGGAACUGUCAGGCUAGAGUGCAGGAGAGGAAGGUAGAAUUCCCGGUGUAGCGGUGAAAUGCGUAGAGAUCGGGAGGAAUACCAGUGGCGAAGGCGGUCUUCUGGACUGACACUGACGCUGAGGUGCGAAAGCGUGGGUAGCAAACAGGAUUAGAUACCCCAGUAGUC